This is a long non-coding RNA of Melanaphis sacchari, 429 nucleotides long. RefSeq lists it as uncharacterized. NCBI's taxonomy places the organism in Eukaryota, Metazoa, Arthropoda, Insecta, Hemiptera, Aphididae. The record is from RefSeq and is a predicted model, not a curated record. The transcript is spliced from 3 exons.
ACAGCCACUGCAGGAUAUCAUGAUGGUUGAGCCAUUUAUCUAUUCUGUGGUUGGACUAUGCCGAGAGGAUAUCGGAGACUAUCUAUAAAAAUGCUGUAAAGACAAAUAUCUAUAUUGAAUAAUAUUGAUGUUGAAGACAUUGUUGAAAAUAAAGUCCAACUAGAUCAAAUUUUCUACCAAAAAUCACUUUGAAGUUUAAUUUGAUUGUCAGUCAAUAAAAAAAAAAACCACGAUGAGUAUAACCUGCAAUAUAGAGAUGUCGACAUCCAGAACACACUCAUCCCAAUUCAACAUAUUAUCUACAUUCUACGUAUAUAUAUCUAUUAAAAUAACAGUUAAAACCGUAAGAUAAUUAGAUAUAGCUUAUAAACUAUAACUCAUAGCUAACCUAUUAGCCAUAUAAUUUAUAAUAAUUUUAGGUACUAUAGU